Quercus robur (English oak) is the source of this 4299-nucleotide RNA transcript. It is a transcript of the gene named disease resistance protein RUN1-like, with no coding region annotated. NCBI's taxonomy places the organism in Eukaryota, Viridiplantae, Streptophyta, Magnoliopsida, Fagales, Fagaceae. The record is from RefSeq and is a predicted model, not a curated record. The transcript has 7 exons.
AAUAAACAAAUUGGAGUUUUUAAAGCAAAAAUGGCCAAAACAGAGGAUGUGAAUGGCCAUUCCUUUAUAAAAUAGGAACUGAAUCUGGUGUUCUUUCAAGAGGUUCUUGAGCUUUACAUUACUUCUCUACUGCUCUCUCUUUUCCAUAAUCCGAGCACAGUUUUCCUCUUUAUGUAAGCUUCUCUCUCUAUUUGCUUUCUCUAACUGAGCACGCACAAAGUUCUUUUUUUGAGACAUCAUUUGAGCCUCUUGUCUCCUUGACAACGUGAUAUCCGCAUCCUCAAGUUCAAGAUUUGCCAAAGUAUUUCUAAUGGCUUCUAUAAGCACUCAAAAAGCCUCAUCUUCGUCAACACCAAGUUGGAAAUAUGAUGUCUUUCUUAGUUUUAGAGGCGAGGAUACCCGCAAUAGUUUUACAGAUCAUAUAUAUGGUGCUUUAAAACAAAAAGGCAUUGAGGUCUUCAGAGAUGAGGAAAAACUUGAGACAGGGAAAUCUAUUGCACCGGCACUCUUGAAAGCAAUAGAAGAAUCAAGAUUUGCAGUUGUCAUUCUCUCAGGAAACUAUGCAUCUUCUACAUGGUGCUUGGAUGAACUCGUAAAGAUCAUUGAAUGCAUGAAAGAGAAGAAAAUGAUAAUUUUCCCAAUUUUUUAUGAUGUGGAUCCAUCUGACAUACGAAAACAAACUGGUACUUUUGCCCAAGCCUUUGCUAAACACAACGAAUGUUUUAAGGAUUGCAUAGAGAAGGUGCAAAAAUGGAGUUUUGCUUUGAGAGAAGUGGCCAAUAUCAAAGGGUGGCAUACACAGGAUAGGCCUGAGUCAAAAAUUAUCCAAAAUAUUGUGAGAGACUUAUUGCAUAAAUUGACUUAUGCAUCCACAGAAAAUAAUGAAGAUCUAGUAGGAAUAACUUCUCGAGCAGAGAAAUUAAAGAUAUGUUUGGCUUUAGGGUCCAAUGAUGUUCGUAUUAUAGGGAUUUGGGGGAUGGGAGGAAUUGGUAAAACAACUAUUGCUAGAGUUGUUUUUCGUAUGGUUUCUAAUGAAUUUGAAGCUUAUUGUUUUCUUGCUAAUGUUAGGGAAGUUUCUGAAAGAGCCGGUUUAGUUGUAUUACAACAACAACUUAUUCUUCAAAUUUUGAAGGAAAGUAUGAUUAUACAAGAUGUUGAUGAUGGAGUUCUUUUGAUAAAAAAUAGGUUACGUCAUAAAAGAAUUCUUCUAGUUCUUGAUGAUGUAAAUCAAUUAGACCAACUAAAAAAGUUAGUUGGGAAGCAUAUUUGGUUUGGUCCAGGUAGUAGAAUUAUCUUAACAACAAGAGAUAAGCAUUUGCUACAGACAUUUGGAGUAGAUGAAAUAUAUGAGGUUGAUCAAUUGAAUGAUGAUGAAGCUCUUCAUCUUAUGAGUUUGAAAGCUUUUAAAAAAGACCAUCCUCCCAAAGAUUAUUUGAAGUUGUCUAAAGAUUUUGUAUAUUAUGCUGGUGGCCUACCUUUAGCUGUUGAGAUUUUGGGUUCCUUUUUGUUCGGUAGAAUAAUUGAUGAAUGGAAUAGUGCAUUAGAUAGGCUUAAAGAAUUUCCUGAACCUAAAAUUCUCCAAGUACUUAAAAUAUCUUUUGAUGGACUACAUGAAGUAGAGAAGGAAAUAUUCCUACAUAUUGCAUGUUUCUUUAAGCAAACAAACAAAAAUGUAGUAGAAAUACUGGAUUAUCUUGGCCUUUACCCUAAAAUUGGAUUACGGGUUCUUAUUGAUAAAUCUCUCAUAAAAGUUUGUGAGGAUUAUUUUUGGAUGCAUGAUUUACUACACGAGAUGGGGAAGAACAUAGUUUUUCAAGAGUGCCCUAAAGAGCCUGGAAAGCGUAGCCGACUGUGGUUAUUUAAGGACAUAGACGAUGUUCUUACAAAUAAUAUGGGAACACAAGCAAUUGAAGGCAUGGUCCUAAAGUUGCAUGAACCAAAAGAGGCAUAUUGGAAUCCUAAAUCAUUUUCAAAGAUUCAUCAUCUUAAAUUGCUCAUAAUUGAUAAUGUUCACCUUUUGCGUGUGCCCAAACAUCUUCCUAAUGCUUUGAGAUAUCUUGAUUGGAGUGGAUACCCUUUAAAAUCAUUUCCAUCAAGUUUCCAACAUCAGCCUUUUGACAUGUUAAAAUUCAUUCGCUUGAAGCAAUCUCUACAAUUGAUUGAAACCCUUAACUUCAACAAAAUCCCAAAUCUUGAGAAAUUGGUUCUUAAGGGUUGUAUAAAUUUACUUGGCUUGCACCCAUCAAUUGGAGUUCAUAAAAAGCUCAUUCUUCUUAAUCUAAAAGGUUGCAAAAACCUCAGAAGUCUUCCAAGCAAGUUUGAAAUGGAGUCUCUUAAGAUUCUUAUCCUUUCUGAUUGCUUAAAAGUAGAAAGAAUCCCAGAAUUUGGGGAGAACAUGGAACGUGUAUCAGAGCUUUACUUGGAUGCCACUGCUAUCACAAAAUUACCCACAUCAAUUGGGAAUUUAACUGGUCUUGCUUUAUUGGAUGUAAGAGACUGCAAAAAUCUCAUAUCUCUUCCUAGCACCUUUUUUAAUAUGAAGUCCCUUAAAAAUCUCAAUUUUUCUGGAUGCUCGAAACUACUAGAGAGCUUAUGGAGGAUUAAUGAAAGUGUAGAGGAGCCUGGUGCAAGUGGAAUUCUAACAAGAUUUAAGCCGAGAAUUCCCAAUUCUAUGUGCCAGCUAUCAACUUCUCUAAUGGGUUUGGGUUCUUUGACCAAUUUGGUUCUAAGUAGUUGCAAUCUCAAUGCAAUCCCCAAUGAUAUUUGUUGCUUAUCCUCUCUAGAAAUUUUAAAUUUAAGUGAUAAUAAAUUUGAAUGCCUUCCGGAAAGCAUAAGUCAACUAUCUGCCCUGCAACUUUUGAAUGUGGCGGAUUGCAUGAAGCUUAUAUCAUUACCAAAGCUUCCAUCAAGUAUUCGUUCAAUCGAGGCAUUUGACUGUCCAUCACUUAAAGCAGUGACAAAUUUAUUGAAACCAAAUUCUUUGAAUUUGGCGGAUAGCAUGAAGCUUAUAUCAUUACCGAAGCUUCCACCAAGUAUUCGUUCAAUCGAGGCAUUUGACUGUCCAUCACCUAAAGCGGUAACAAAUAUAUUGACACCAUAUUCUUUAGGUGAGCCAAGACUCCUCCUUUCAAAUCGCUGUAGGCUGGCUAACAAUCAAGGCGUCAUUAACACUUUUUUUGCAGUCAUAAGAAAGCAUCAUCAGGGACCCUGCUUUGGCUACGAAAUCGGUUACGCAUAUGACCUAAUUAUUCCUGGAAAUAGAAUUCCAAGGUGGUUUAGCCAUCAAACUACAGGGACUGAAAUAAGUCUAAAAGUACCAAGUCAUUUGCGUGAUGAGUGGAUGGGGAUUGUUGUUUGCACUGUAUUUUGUUCUACUCCACCUUACGAAACCAACCCAAUCAACCGCAGUUCAAUUUUUAGUUUUUUGAUAGCCAAUGGAAAAAAAGUGCGUAGAAGAGUCUUUAGACCUGGAGACAUUUUUAUGAUGGAUCAUAUUAGGCUAUCUUAUUUACUUCCUGAAUUAUUUGAUAAGGAAGCCAUGGAAGAAUUGUGGCAAUGUGAUGUAAAUGGAUUCAGUCAUAUUGGAAUUCAAAUCCCAACGCAAAAUACAGGCUUAGAGGUGAGGAGCUUCGGGUUCCGCAUGGUAUACAAGAAAGACAUGGAAGAUUUCAACCAAACAAUGGCUCAGUUUGCCAACAAUAGCAUUACUCCUUAUUAGGGUUUGGAUGUUAUCCGUCAUAAUUUCGACAAUUCGGUCAUUUCAGAGGAAGGCAAAAAAGUCAAGCGAAUCUGUGAUGACUAUGAUGGGGCUGGACCUAGUGGAGAAGGAAGCUCUAAUGAUGUACCACACCCAAAAAGGAUUGAAAGCAUCCCAGAAUUUUUGGCUCAUGGUAUCUCUGAUUGUGAUGAGUCAAGUGAUAGUGAUUAGUGACCUGGGAAGUUUAAUCAACUUUUUGCUCUUGAUUAUCUGUUUAUUGGACUUGUUCUGGUUCAUAAGGAGAAACUUUCACAUGCCCAAGAAACAAGAAGACAAGUCCAGUCCACUUUAUGCUCCUAAUUUCACUCGCUCUAUUGGAAUGCUGGGUAGAAUCUUCAUUUUGUUGCCUAUAGUUCAUUGUUUUAAAAUUAUUCAAUAUGCAAAAACAAUUUAUGCAUGCCACUGCAAACAUUACAAUUGGAAUUACUUAUUAUGUCGUUUCAUAUUACAUAUGUGAACUCAUGUCAUGUAUAGAUCACAAUUAGAAUGAUUAAUCUACCUAGAGUUAGCAUCUAGCUUCCUCCCUUGUUGAAGGUUUUCUA